Lepus europaeus (European hare) is the source of this 2719-nucleotide long non-coding RNA. RefSeq lists it as uncharacterized. The record is from RefSeq and is a predicted model, not a curated record. NCBI's taxonomy places the organism in Eukaryota, Metazoa, Chordata, Mammalia, Lagomorpha, Leporidae. The transcript is spliced from 3 exons.
UGAGCUGCCUAUGGAGAGCAUCGCAUAGCAGGGGACUGCAGGGGGAGGACCCCAGCCCACAGCCAGUGGGAAAGGAACUGAGUGUUGCCAACGCCAACCUGAGCCAGAGAAGAGAUCGCCCUGAGUUGGGUCUCAGGUGGACCUGCAGCCCCAGGCAACACCUUGACUCCAGCCAUGCCGAGGACCUGGCUACGUCAGGCCCAGACUCCUGACUCACAGAAACCACGGCAUAAAGCCGUGUGGACUUGAAGCUGCUAAGUGUGUAUGCGUGUGUGGCAACGUUGGAGUGGUGCAAGAGAUGACCGGCAGAGGCGGCUCACGUCAGUCAUCACUCUCCCUCAUCCACUCUGCCGUGUCAGUGGCCUGCUGAGAACAGGAGUCCCGGGACGGAGCAGCCGAUGCUUGGCCCCAAGAAGAAAAAGAAGGAGAAAACCCAGGAAUCAGACCGCUUCAAAGGAGAAACAAAAGAACCGAAUGUACUCCCUCCUAUGAGGCGCUCCCUUUCCUCAUCCCAGCCUGGCGGAGAAAGGAAGCCUCAGCCCCGGGGUGUGUCCUUUGUCUCUCUCACAGGCCCCAGGACACGGGGCUCUCAGUGGCCUGAAGUUGCAUACCAGGGAGCUGAUGUCCAGAGCAGUGCAGUGUUUGCAUCGAGGGCUCACGGUGAGAAGCAGAGCUUGGGUUUGGCAUGCAAGCCUGUCUGACCCCCGGGCGGUAGCACUCCGCAGUGUAACCGCGAUGGCGUCCUGCAGCCUGAGAUAUUUAGGGCUCAAGGGGCCUCAUGUCCACAGUUUUCUCCGAAGGAGAGGAGAGAGGAAGCGUCCUCGGUGACCUUGGAGGAGUUCCGGUGGAAACUACCUGGACUGGGGUCUCCCUGAGGGUAGGUCUGGACCCCGUUGUCUCGCACAGAGCAGGUGCUUUAUCUAUGUUUGGUAAAUAUUUGAAGGCCAAAGGGAAGGAGGAAGGUAGCCUUUCUCCCUUCUUUCAAAAAGCUUCGAGCACACGGUGACACACGGGCUGGGCGGCGGGAGAGAGCGUCGGUGGAGCCAUCACGGUGAAAGGCGUCUACAGCUUCCACAGGAGGUCCUCUCACCUCUGGACACGAAAGCCACGAAUUCACAUACCACGAAUGUGCUCAGCCAUCUGUGGUAAGAAAUCACGCCACGGCGAGGGUAGAGUUGAACAUGCGGGAAUACCCAGAACCCAGGCCAGUUGACACAGGGGUAAUCAUUGGCCAGUGACUGUCACCUAAAAUGUAGAAACCAAUGAACGUCACUAUUCCCAGUGCCGAAAAUCUCGGGGGGAGAGAAGGAGGAGACGCCGGUCUGGAGUAGAGCCCCCGGAAGACCAAAGCUGGCAUAGUUUGUCUGACUUUGCCCCAGUCUGGUAGCAGGGACUUUGAUUACUGGAUGUGAGCACUGUCAUUGUCUUGGGAGAACUGCUCCCAUCAAAGGAAAAAUUCCCCAGCAUCCUAGCUGGAUUCUUAGGCUGACCUCCAUCCCUGCCUUCUGACACCGCACACACACCAAAGCACUCUGAUGACAAGCCAGCUUUGCACGGAGCGCUCUGUGACUCUGCAGAGAACAGCACGGGGUCACGUUGACAUGCGUUCUUUAGUCUCUGUGACAAUGAAAUCUCUCAUGGGGAACAAGGAGAAUGGAGUUGUGGUUGGGUUUCUGGUCCCUUAUGAGUCAGUUGUGUCUCUGAUUGAGACCAAUCAGCUCAGUCUAGUCUGGUUGAAAUUCUGGACCCAAGAAGUUGGAUUCUAGAACCUCUGUAAAGCGAACCUGUGAGCUGGUUCUCAUCCACCUGUGUUUCUUGCCAUUCGUUGCUUGGUUUACUACUUUUUAAUACUUGGAAAGUGUCUCUUCUGAGCAGGUGACGUGCUAGGCAUGACUCUCAUGCACCCGCAUUUGCUUGCUGUCUAGAGAAGAACCAGACACAUCAGCCACCAAGGGCAGUGGGGCUCCAGUGUGGGUGGGAGUGAGGGAGGAGAGGUGUGAGGGUGUGGGGGUGAGGGUCAGCUCUGCUGGGGCAGGAAAACAUUCCCACGGUGGUGACUCUAGUGGAAUCCUGAGCGAUGAGGUGAUCCCUGGCCGAUGAGAUGGAGAAGGGUGGAGAUGGGCAUGGGGGCAGCACAGGUGCAGGGAGAGGAGCAGGGAUGGAGCCUGCUGUGCUGUCCCUGCAGGGACCACAGUCAAAGCGUAUUCUGGAUGAAUGGUGCGCCUGCCAGGUGCAGACCGUGGCGCCCUGGGAAGAGUCGGAGCACAGAGCAUCUUCUUUGUCUGUGUCUUUGAAUUUAAGACUUUGUUCCGAAAGCCACAGAGAACGAGUGAGUCAUCAUGAGCCUGGGACAGCCUGGCUUCAGGCUUAGUGGCUGACUGUUUCUAUGGGAGUAGCAGUGCAAAAGUUGAAGUUGAUAGAGAAAGAUUUGGGGCAAGGUGAUCAAGGCUGUGACUAUGGAAAUUGUGACAGUCUAUGAGGGGCUCAUCCAAGGCAGAAGCAGUAAGGAGAGAUGGAUGGAGGGAGAAUCUAUAGGACUGGGUGGAUGAUGGUAGCCCUGGAGGGGGCUGUGAGGUGGAGCAAUGGACUCCUGGAGUCCAAGGAGGCCGUGGGACCCCAGAUGAAACACAGGAGGAAGUCCAGUAGAGAGGACAGGAGAUCCAAGGGGGCGCUGUUGCUUGCCAUGCCCAUUCCAGUGCACCUGGAGUAGUGUGGGGCG